Molecule: ribosomal RNA, 545 nt
Filed under: uncultured archaeon
Lineage: Archaea
Description: bacterial SSU rRNA
Rfam family: Archaeal small subunit ribosomal RNA
Source: RNAcentral
GGGGAGCAGCAGGCGCGAAACCUUUACACUGCACGCCAGUGCGAUAAGGGAAUCCCAAGUGCGCAGGCAUAGAGCCUGCGCUUUUGUACACCGUAGGGAGGUGUACGAAUAAGGGCUGGGCAAGACCGGUGCCAGCCGCCGCGGUAAUACCGGCAGCCCGAGUGAUGGCCGAUCUUAUUGGGCCUAAAGCGUCCGUAGCUGGCCGCACAAGUCCAUCGGAAAAUCCACCCGCCCAACGGGUGGGCGUCCGGUGGAAACUGUGUGGCUUGGGACCGGAAGGCGCGACGGGUACGUCCGGGGUAGGAGUGAAAUCCCGUAAUCCUGGACGGACCGCCGAUGGCGAAAGCACGUCGCGAGGACGGGUCCGACAGUGAGGGACGAAAGCCAGGGUCUCGAACCGGAUUAGAUACCCGGGUAGUCCUGGCCGUAAACAAUGCCUGCUAGGUGUGGCUCCCGCUACGAGCGGGUGCUGUGCCGUAGGGAAGCCGCUAAGCAGGCCGCCUGGGAAGUACGUCCGCAAGGAUGAAACUCAAAGGAAUUGACGG